RNAcentral lists this non-coding RNA (182 nucleotides) under Candidatus Nitrohelix vancouverensis. RNAcentral describes it as "6S RNA". It matches the Rfam family "6S / SsrS RNA". Rfam says of the family: E. coli 6S RNA was the first non coding RNA to be sequenced, but its function was unknown until recently. It consists of 184 nucleotides that fold into an extended hairpin structure with a large single-stranded internal bulge. The record is from RNAcentral. Lineage: Bacteria; Pseudomonadati; Nitrospinota; Nitrospinia; Nitrospinales; Nitrospinaceae.
GCCUCCCUGUUGUGUUUGUAGCCGAGUCUGAUUUUUGAGCCAACAUUUUUGAGAAGGGGUUGAGGAAUCGGCUGUGGUGAGCAAGCCUUCGAAGGAGGGAAGCCUAAAACAGUAUACCAAAGCCCCACCUAUUGUAAGAUAGGUUCAAAAAAUGAUUCGUCUACGGCAUUGACGGGGGGGUC